Strigops habroptila (Kakapo) is the source of this 1928-nucleotide long non-coding RNA. The record is from Ensembl. NCBI's taxonomy places the organism in Eukaryota, Metazoa, Chordata, Aves, Psittaciformes, Psittacidae.
CUAAUUGAGCAAUGUCAUAUUCUAUAUCUGCAGUUACAGUUGGUAUAUGUACACAGCAGUGAACGAUUCUAUCUUUGAGAUAUCCACAAACACCAUGUUUCUUCAACAGCAAUGUGUCUAAUGCCAUUCUGUUUUGCAGAGUCAUUUUGGUUGUUGCCUGUAAUUGCAAAUUUAGAUCCCUAAAGCCUUUUUAGUCACCUUGGCCAAUCUCUCAGUUUGUCCAAUUAAAUUAUAAAUCAUUUCCCUAUUGCGAUAUGCAGCUAUUUGAGCAAAAAGGGAUUCAAGUGCCCAUCUUACUUUCACUCCAGUCUCAGGCUCUUGCCAAGUGUCAUCUAUAUUGUCAAUGUCAUCAUCAAUACUUCUUUUGGUUUGAAUCUGCAAAGUUUCUAGUUUGCCCCUGAACGGGGAACGCUUCCAAACUGGACACAAAGUGGGGAGUCCUAAGGUAAUUUCCCGCACUGGCCCUGUUAUUGGAAGGUGGGUGGUCCAGGUACCACCACUGAGUGCCCAAACAAGAUGUCCCAUGCUAUGUAUCAUCAAAUAUCUGCAGUUUAUUCCAUCAGCCGGGGCUUGUAUCGGUUUUUAUUAUCUCCUUUUCCUGACACUUAACUGCCUCGUUUCCUUCUGGGAAUGGUAUUGUUAUUAUUCCCCACUCAAUUGGUUCUCCAGCUGCUUUUGGUAUUGGGAGGCAUGCCGUUAUUCUACUCGUAUUUUGCAUUUUUGCGAAAUCCUUGAUUAAUCCUAUCAUUAGGUUUUCCUCCGGAUCACGUUGGGGUACUUGAAUUAUCUGGGGUGAUUCGGUCAGUUUUAUAGCUCGUCUGACUCUAGUUUUAGUAAUGUAUAUUAUCUUCUCACCGUAGUCUGCACUAUUGUUUGUCUUGACCAGACAACGAUAUUUUCCCCGCAUUUGUUCAGUCAGAUUGGCUAUCCUUAAUUUAGUCUCUCCUUCAGUAAGAUUUCGUGAACAGAACCUGUUCAUUACUUUACUUCUAGAUUGCCAAUUUUCCUGCAACUCCUGCUCAUGCCCCACUAAUCCUUUGUCCUUGCUGUCGAAAAUUAUCUCAGGUGCUUCAAAAUUUUCCGAUUCCUUUUCCCAGAUAACCCUUAUUAGUUCUCCUCCCAUUGGCAUGGUAAACCUGCAAGACAGAGUGGCAUUUUGUCCAACAACAUACGUCACCACCUCCCUUUUCAAUGAAACUUCUAAGGAACCAACAAUUAUUAUAGGUAAGACUGACCAAAUCACAAUUAAAGUGCUAUACAUAUAACAUGACAUCUUAUCUGCAUUUCAGCCUCAGUUUUGUAGGUCCUAAGGCUUCUGAUUCGACAAUGUUUCGGGACUUUCUUCACUCUAGUGUAGUGAACCCAGGAGUCAAUUCCUUCCACUUUUACAGCGGUGAAGGUAGUUAGCAGCACCAGGUACGGUCCAUUCCACCGUUCCUUAAGUGGUUCCUCGCUCCAAUCACGAACGUAGACCUGGUCUCCUGGCUCGAUCUCGUGUACUGGAGUCUCCAACGAGAGCGGUCUGUUCCAGAUCAGGGCACUACGCAACCGGAUCAAAGUUCUACUGAGAGAUAACACAUAAUUAUGUACAUCCUGAGUUCCUUUGAUAUGUACAUGUGGGUUUGGCUGGGGAGCCUCAUAUGGCUUUCCAAACAGGAUCUCAUAUGGGCUUACCAUCAUCCCACUUCUAGGUUUAAUUCUGAUCCUUAAAAGGGCUAUUGGUAAUGCCUGUGGCCAUUUUAUUUUAGCCUCCUGGCAUAUUUUGCUUAUCUGUCUUUUAAUUGUUUGAUUCAUCUUUUCUACCUGUCCACUGGACUGUGGCCUCCAUGGGGUAUGAAGAUUCCAGGAUAUUCCUAACAGUUUACUGACUUCCUGAACUAUAGUUGCUGUAAAAUGCGGUCCUCUAUCUGAUGAUAUACCCAACGGGA